Molecule: ribosomal RNA, 648 nt
Filed under: uncultured bacterium
Lineage: Bacteria
Description: bacterial SSU rRNA
Rfam family: Bacterial small subunit ribosomal RNA
Source: RNAcentral
UACACAUGCAAGUCGAACGCUUCAGCAAUGAAGAGUGGCAGACGGGUGAGUAACGCGUGGGAACCUUCCCAGUGGUACGGAAUAGCCCAGGGAAACUUGGGGUAAUACCGUAUAAGCCCUUAGGGGGAAAGAUUUAUCGCCAUUGGAUGGGCCCGCGUCGGAUUAGCUUGUUGGUGAGGUAAAAGCUCACCAAGGCGACGAUCCGUAGCUGGUCUGAGAGGAUGAUCAGCCACACUGGGACUGAGACACGGCCCAGACUCCUACGGGAGGCAGCAGUGGGGAAUAUUGGACAAUGGGCGCAAGCCUGAUCCAGCCAUGCCGCGUGAGUGACGAAGGCCUUAGGGUUGUAAAGCUCUUUUGGCGGGGACGAUAAUGACGGUACCCGCAGAAUAAGCUCCGGCUAACUUCGUGCCAGCAGCCGCGGUAAUACGAAGGGAGCUAGCGUUGUUCGGAAUUACUGGGCGUAAAGCGCACGUAGGCGGAUUUGUUAGUCAGGGGUGAAAUCCCGGGGCCCAACCUCGGAACUGCCUUUGAUACUGCAAGUCUGGAGUCCGGAAGAGGUGGGUGGAAUUCCUAGUGUAGAGGUGAAAUUCGUAGAUAUUAGGAAGAACACCGGUGGCGAAGGCGGCCCACUGGUCCGGUACUGAC